This 433-nucleotide ribosomal RNA is filed under the name uncultured bacterium. Its description in RNAcentral is "partial 16S ribosomal RNA". It matches the Rfam family "Bacterial small subunit ribosomal RNA", at positions 28 to 507 of the family's 1533-position model. The record is from RNAcentral.
GACGAACGCUGGCGGCGUGCCUAACACAUGCAAGUCGAACGAAACCGUCGGGCCUAGUGGCGCACGGCUGCUUACCGCCGGGGAACCUACCCGUGAGUUCGGAAUCACUCCCCGAAGGGUGUCCUAAUACAGGAGAAUCUCUUCCGGCCAAAGAGUUAUCGCCUUUGGAUGGGCCCGCGUUAGAUUAGCGAGUUGGUAGGGUAAAAGCCUACCAAGGAGACGAUCCUUAGCUGGUCUGAGACCAUGCUAAGCUAGACUGGGACUGCGACACGGCCCAGACUCGGACGGGAGGCAGCAGUAGAGAAUACUGGACGAUGGGCGAAAGUCUGACAAAGCCACGUGGGGUGAGUGAUGAAGGGGUUAGGGUUGUACAGCUCUUUUAGACGGGAUGAUAAUGACAGUAACGGGAGAAUAAGCACCGGCUAACUACGUG